ACAGCCAUAGCCUUCUCUACGUUUUGGAUUUCCUUUUAUGAUUUUACUAUUUAAAUUUGUUUUCUUUUUAAAUAGUACUAAAGUAGCAAUAUUUUAUUGGCAGCCAUAUUUAUGAUGUGAUUAGAUGAUGCACGAGGACGAGGCUACAAAGAGAUCAUUAAAUAAAGGAGCUUGACACAACUACUCUAUCUAUAGCUCUGACUGAUUUUGUUUUUCUUUUUGUCCAAAAUAAUUAGCCUUUUGAUGUAACUGCUGCCCAAAGAGAUGCGCAUUU
This 274-nucleotide long non-coding RNA is filed under the name Brassica rapa (field mustard). RNAcentral's name for it is "long non-coding RNA (BRAP_LNC007075)". The record is from RNAcentral. Lineage: Eukaryota; Viridiplantae; Streptophyta; Magnoliopsida; Brassicales; Brassicaceae.